UUUCGAGACGAUUCCCGUCACCAAGAAAGCGAAGAUGGGGGAAUCAGGGAAGGACGUAAAAACGGGUUUUCAUCCCCCUGACGACACGGACAUUGCCUCGGCGGCAUGGUUCAUGAAGAUGUUCCAGGCGGCGCAAAAAUGUAUGAACUUGUCGAAUCAGCCGAUUGCAGGCGACACCAGCGCCCCUACCAGAUCAGCGGCGCAGACCAAAACUCGGCCCGACAGCCCAGGCGCCCCGACGCCGGACGGGCCGCUGAGGCGUGACGGAGUACCGGCGAAGCGGCCACGGCCAGGACAACGGGACAUUGAAAGCCGUACUCGGGGGAGAAGCCCGAGUACCUGUCAUGCUCCCUCUAUUGAUAUAAAUGAGGAUGAUUCAAACUCUGAAUAUGGCUACCAUCGGCCCAUAGCAUCCCGCAAGCGAAAAUGGGCAGACUCUUUGCUGUCUCAACUUUCCACUUCAGGAUCAGAGAGACAGAGCAUUGCUAGCGGUCGUUAUGAGAAGGAGGGGGUUUCAGUGAUUAGUGAGGGUUUUUCUUCAGCUAAUUUUGCUUCCAGACCCAGCUCUCGCCAUGAUAGCGUAGAAAGCAAGCCUGUUUCGGCUGCAGAUUUGAUUACGAAAUACUGCCCCCAGCUUAAGGCAGAGACUACCGACUCAGAGGAAUCUAAGCCUAUUUUCUGUCUCGAUUCGGAGCUUGGGAGACAAUCUGUCAACUCAGCUGCGGUGAAGCUUGACAAACCCUUCUCAUCCUGCCUGAAUUACCUUAAUGACAGGGGAAGGGACUUACGCCCUACCAACAGAGUGGUUAAGAAGCAUUUUCGCUUUGGGGAACGAGACUUUAAGCACGCUUUCAAGACUCCCACAGUCCCAGAUGCAGCCUUUUGUGUUGGUGAUGCUAAGGCUAAGAGAUCGCGCUACUCUAAUCAGAAUCCACUCGGGUCACGUAGAUUUAAGCGUAUGGAGAGUCAGUUGACCUCUAUUGACCAGGCAGCCAGGGCAUCUAUGCGCCUAGCAACCUAUCACACAUAUCUUUUGACAGCCUUUCGGGAAUCUGAGAGACUAGGUAUCUCCCCAGAGGAUCGCAGAGACAUAUGGGAGUGUGUUCUGAAGAUUGCAGAAUACCAGUUUGAACAGGCGUCGAGAACGGCCAUACUUUGCACGAGAGCAAGACGUUCACAGGUCAUUGACCUACUUCAGAUUGAAAAAAUGCUACUCGACUACUCGAAAGACUGCCAGCCUGGGGGGAUGACCUUUUCAGUGGUCGUUUUCAGGAAGUUUUAGAAUCUUCCAUCUCUGCCUCUUCCACGGCUGAUAAGACAGUGUACAGGUUGUCUUCACAUUCUUAUGGCCAACGUUCCUCCUCACGUCAGCAGGCCUCUGGGCCGAGUAACCAGCAACCGCAAGGCCCCCCACAACGCGAGGUCAGGGAUAGGAGCCCCCAGACCAAUCAAAGGACCCCUACACCCUUUCGGGGUCGACGCAGAUUGUCCCGCGGUUCUCAGUACCCCCCUAAACACUUGUGACUCCUUGGCCGGACCGUUUUCCCCAGACUUACACGCCCCCGUAGGAGGAAGGCUCAUUUUCUUUGCAAAAAAUUGGAGCCUCAUAACAAGAGACAAAUUAAUUCUCAGGAUAGUGUGGGAGGGAUAUCGGGUCGAGAUCGACCCAGAUUAUCGGGAUGCGUUCGCACAAUUAACCACCUCUGCCCUCCCCCACUCUCUCGAAACGAGAGAGGCUCUUUUAAGGGAAAUCAACGAACUGGAGAGAAAGCGUGCAAUUUCCAAGGUGCCCUCCAGCCGAAAGAUUGUUUUGUCAAAUGUCUUCCUAAUUCGGAAACGGUCCGGAAAAUUCAGGAUGAUCCUGAAUCUAAAGAAACUAAACAGGUUCAUCGAAAACAAGCCAUUCAAGAUGGAAUGCCUCUCCAAGAUCCUGCCCCUGCUUCGCCCCCACGAGUGGGCGGCAUCUAUAGACUUAUCGGACGCGUAUCUUCACGUUCCAAUAGCAAGGUCCUCUCAGCAUCUCCUAGGUUUCGCAAUAGGAGGGGACACUUACCAGUACCAGGCCCUCCCUUUAGGCCUUCUCAUAAACUGGGAAAAAUCAAGAUUGACUCCAACUCAGACUCCGGAUUUCCUUGGAGCAUUUAUAGACAUCCCGAGUCAGGUGGCAGCCCCCCUUCCCCACCGGGUUCAGAGAAUGAGAGCAGUCGCGGAGCAACUCCUGUCCAGUCGUCUCUCGACUGCGAAGACUUGGCAGAUUUUUCUGGGACUCUUAGCAAGCUUAGUGAAUACAGUUCCCCCUUGCAGACUGAGGAUGAAUUUUCACAUAAACAGUUUGGAGAUGAUUGCGGUGCAGUUAGCCCUCCAACACUUUGCAUCCGAGAUAGUGGAAAAGUGUGUCCUGAUAAAGUCAGACAACCAGACGGUGGUAACAUAUCACAUAGCAGACUUCUUAUCGAGGGGGCGCUAUCUCCCCUCGGAAUGGAUGCUCCACGAGGCUGUGGCCAGGGAGAUAUUCAAUCAUUUCGGCAACCCACAGAUAGAUCUAUUUGCCUCAACACUACCAGGGACCCAGCACUACUACCCCGAGCCCAACAAACUGAGGCUCACACUGUGGCCCAUUACAGGGCAGCAGCAAUCAAGGCUGGACUUUCUGAACGGGCUGCCAAUUUCUCAGCAGCAGAACGUUUACGGUCUUCCACACGAUCAACCUACGACUCCAGACUCAGUCACUAUGUGAGAUGGUGUCGGCAGGCUAAGACUAAUCCAUGCAGGGCAUCUGUAGGGCUGUCUCGCCGGAUACUAUCUCUCGUUGGAUUGUGGAGGCAGUGAAAUCUGCUGGUGAUCCAGUCAUCAUUCACCAGAACAUUAGAGCCCAUGACACAAGAGGAUUGGCUGCUUCCUGGGCCUUAUUCAAGGGCGUACCCAUGGAGGAUAUAAUGAAAGCGGCAUAUUGGUCCAACGCUAAUACAUUCACAUCCUGCUACCUCUCGGAUGUCCUCGGUGAUGAAUCCAAGUUUGCGAGGGCCACCCUGUCCGGUCCCCAUCGCUAAUCCAAGGUAUGAGUUUAACUUUACAAGCUUGUCAUUAGUAUCUUGUAUAAUAGAAUUGAUCUGUAGGGCCUCUUGGCUUUGACCUUUGGCCUGACCACCUCCCAUAGUUGUUUCCGUGGGAAUCUGGCAUUUAAGGGAAUAGGUAAGUAUGGCGUAUCUGAAGUAGAUUAUGUUGUUCAGUAGUGAACACCAUAUCUACGAAGUAGCCAUACUUACCUAUGCUACCCUCCCACCUCCCCUCUUUCUGUAUCUGAGGUUUGUUUGCCUAAGAAAGAGGAAGUGAGCCACGCACGCAAGGUACUUAUAGUAUAGGGCGGGGUUUCCCUCCUUGUCGUGCAGGGCUCUAGUCUGCGUUGCAGACUUUUUCUCCUUUUAUAGGAGAAAUUUUUGCCGGGUGUAUUCGAGCGUGGCGAUCGAAUGGCAUUUAAGGGAAUAGGUAAGUAUGGCUACUUCGUAGAUAUGGUGUUCACUACUGAA
RNAcentral lists this unclassified non-coding RNA (3527 nucleotides) under Lytechinus variegatus (green sea urchin). Its description in RNAcentral is "uncharacterized LOC121427438, transcript variant X2". Lineage: Eukaryota; Metazoa; Echinodermata; Echinoidea; Temnopleuroida; Toxopneustidae. The record is from RNAcentral.